AGAGUCCUGAAGUGUUCGUUGGGUAACCUGAAAUUUUGACCUAACAUUUUACCCUUGGGAAUUCGGAGUGACCGUUUGGCGUAAAUGCCUUUCCACGAGGACUUACAACAAUCGGGACAGAAUACCCACCUGCUGAGAGCAGGAUCAAAACGAGGGAAUCUAACUACGGCACAAUUGGGACUCUC
Molecule: non-coding RNA, 185 nt
Filed under: Bacillus benzoevorans
Lineage: Bacteria; Bacillati; Bacillota; Bacilli; Caryophanales; Bacillaceae
Description: 6S / SsrS RNA
Rfam family: 6S / SsrS RNA
About the family: E. coli 6S RNA was the first non coding RNA to be sequenced, but its function was unknown until recently. It consists of 184 nucleotides that fold into an extended hairpin structure with a large single-stranded internal bulge. The 6S RNA specifically associates with RNA polymerase holoenzyme containing the sigma70 specificity factor.
Source: Rfam by way of RNAcentral